UUUUUCCUUCUUUUAUGGGUUUUGCUCAAUGGUGAUCAUGGUCUUUUUGUAUGCAGAACCUCUUUGGCUUUACUUUAAGUGGAAGGCUUUAUUUUGUGUAGGGUUAUCAAUGGUUUGGGGUAAGAUUUACAUACACACUAACCCACCCUCCCUAGAGCCCACUACUGGGAUUACACUGGGUAUGUACAACCAAAAUCAGACUUUUCAAAACCAUCCCAUCAUCUCUGUUUCUCUUCAAUAUUAGUACUGUUCGGUUAAUUGUUGGUACUUAUAGAAAUGUCAUGUAGUAGUUACAGGUAAAAAUUAGAACACGAUAACAUGCAUACUUUUGUAAGACUUUUGGCAAACAAUUUCUAGACAUUUUUACCUUUAGAAGGUAUUGAAUCAAGGGAACAUUCUUUACAGUGGUGUAGAACAAAGUUAAACUAAGACAAUUUAAAUCAAACAAGAAGGAAAAAUUCAGUCAAUAUGUGGUACUGAAAAACCAAGUCUACUAAGAUUGAGUAUCCAAUUAGAGAAAUUUAAGAUCAUAUAAGAAGAAAGACUUGUGAUACCCUGUAACUUGUUGCUCAAGACAGUUGGAAUAACUUAGCUUAUUAGUAGAAGUGCUAGAAUUAAUGUAGUUUUAUAGGAAUAGCAUAAUAGGUUUCGUAGUUGGGACUUUGGGUGUUAAUUACUUGUUCUUGUUCCUUCUCAAAAAACUUGUAGUCAUACAAUUCAAGUCAAAUUUUAAUUUUUUAUUAUUUUAGUGCUUAAAAUAAAAUACUUUUCACAAACUUAUUCCGUAAGGAUGCUCUAAGUGCGGAGAUUUGAGAUGUUAGAUGUGGAUGGUUUUAGUAGAGAUAGAUGUAGACUGAACAAGUAUUGGGUAGAGGUGAUUAGAUAGGAUAGGACGCAAUUUCAACCUACCGAGGAUAUGACCGUAGAUAGGAGGUUGUGGAGGAAACAAAUUAGGAUGGAAGAUUGGUAGGUAGUAGAGCAUUGUCUCGCUUAUCUUUCCACACUAGUAGUUUAGCUUUAUUGUAGGAGUUUUUGUCCUUUGAUGUAUGUUAUUACCUGUCGUUUCUUGCACACCUCGAUUAUCAUAUUACAUUGUUGUAGUUACAUUUCUUUUUUGUUAAAAUGAUUUGACACGCUUUCUAUAGUAUUUUGUCAAGAUUCCUUCACUCUUAUUAGUUUUUUUUUUUUAUUUAUUUUUUUAUAAUCUGCUUCGAAUUUUUUUUCUCUUGAGCUGAGGGUCUAUAGGAACAACCUCUCUACGAGCUAGGGGUAAGGUAUACAUUCUACCCUCCUCGGACCCCACUUGUGGGUUUACAUGGGUCUAUUGUUGAAACUUAUUUAGUACUGUUCAGUAAUUUUUGGCUUUAUUUUUAUAAAAUUUAAACCCUACUAAUUAUUUGGUACGGUUAUGAAUUUGAUAAAAACCUUGGUUUUAUUAAAAGAGACCUAAUAAUCGGUUCAGUAUUGUUCGGUUAAGUCGGUUAAGUUGAUUUUUAAAAAAUCAUUGGCACCCUAAUUUAAGGGAAAGAAAAUGCUAUAUCCUUGUACAUCUAUUUUCUUGAGCAUUGUAGUCGACAUCUUAGUUUCAGUUGAAUCACGAAUCAUAAAUCAAGGCAAUGAAAAAUUUCUCUGACUGCAUUGAAUUGUCUUAUUACAUUAUUAUAAAGAGUGCUUAAUUGCUAGAAAA
Non-coding RNA from Solanum lycopersicum (tomato), 1687 nucleotides. NCBI's taxonomy places the organism in Eukaryota, Viridiplantae, Streptophyta, Magnoliopsida, Solanales, Solanaceae. The record is from RefSeq and is a predicted model, not a curated record.